CUGGCUUCUUUCACAUAGUAUAAUAUUUUCAAGGUAGUCACAUUUGUAGCAUGUUAUCAGUGCUUUACUUCUUUUGAUGGUUGAAUAACAAGUCCAUUGUAUGGAUAUACCAUAUUUUCUCUAUUCAUUCAUCAGUUUUUUGAUAUUUGGGUUGUUUUCAGCUUUUGUCUAUUGUGAAUAACGCUACUGUGAAUAUUUGAGUACAAUAUUUACUCCAGUACUGCACUGUCUUG
RNAcentral lists this long non-coding RNA (233 nucleotides) under Marmota monax (woodchuck). Lineage: Eukaryota; Metazoa; Chordata; Mammalia; Rodentia; Sciuridae. The record is from RNAcentral.